UACGUAGGUGGCGAGCGUUGUCCGGAAUUACUGGGUGUAAAGGGCGUGUAGGCGGGGACGUAAGUCAGAUGUGAAAUUCCUGGGCUCAACCUGGGCGCUGCAUCUGAAACUAUGUCUCUUGAGUGCUGGAGAGGAAAGCGGAAUUCCUAGUGUAGCGGUGAAAUGCGUAGAUAUUAGGAGGAACACCAGUGGCGAAGGCGGCUUUCUGGACAGUAACUGACGCUGAGGCGCGAAAGCGUGGGGAGCAAACAGG
Molecule: ribosomal RNA, 253 nt
Filed under: uncultured bacterium
Lineage: Bacteria
Description: partial 16S ribosomal RNA
Rfam family: Bacterial small subunit ribosomal RNA
Source: RNAcentral